AAAAAAAAAAAGAGGUGGAGAAAGAAAAAUAUUCUAGUCAUAAAAAAAUAUAUAUACAGCAACAAAGCAAGCCAAUCCUUCUGGGAUUGUCCGCCGCAGAACCUCGAGUAUUAAACACCUUGGUUUGCUUAGUUCCUUUACUAGUUUUUGGUUAAGUAUUAUGACACUAUAUAGCUUGCAGGGGCAAUAACUCUGGUAUUUCUAAUUUGAGAAGGUUUCUCGUUAUUUCUCUGUUUUCUUUUCACAUGACUCUGCUUCUCUAUGGGUAUUUAUUUAAAUAUUUAUUUUCAAUAAUUCAUUUGUUGUGCAAUUUGUAAUUUAUUCUUCAAUAUUUAUUGUGUAUAUUAUAUGCAGGCUCGGAAAAAGUGCAAUAUAAAUUUUGUAUCAUAUUUAUUUUACCCAGUUUAUUCUCAACACUCUUCUUAACCGAAACUUCCAUUUGCUAAUUCCCGUCAAAGAUGCUCCACUUACUAAAUCUCCACCGUCGAAUUUAUUUCAAUCAAAAAUCUAGGAGAAAUAUUUCAAAUGAAACAUAAUGUUUCAAGAAUAAGUAGAGAGUGGUGUUAACUUUAUUUUCCCUUCAUUAUUGUUUAACAUUUUUGUAAUCAUAUUUCUGUGGAAAUACAGUUUUAAUUACUUUUUAACAGAAUUAAGAAAUUAGUGAAAUAAUCUAGUCAUUAUUAAGCUGGUAUUUGAGACAUAACUUAACAUGAUGGGAGGUUUAAUUCAAAACAUGAAGUUCAUAUCAUAGAACCUGGGGUAGUCUCAAACAGGCUUGCUUCAAAAGGGUCAACUCCCUCAUCAACCAGACUUAUGAUUAAAGACACUCCUGCCCUGGCUGUGUGGUUGAGAAGUCUACUUUGCAACCAGUCACUUGAUCUUGGGUUCAGUGUCACAGCAUGAUAUCUUGAGCCAGUAUUUUCUACUAUAGCCUUGAGCUGAAGAACCAAAGAAUGCUUUGUGAUUGAAGCCGACAAAAACUGUGUGGAAGCCUAUCACAUGUUUGUGUAUAUAUAUAUGUGCGUGUGUGUGUUUGCAUGUAAUUGUAUGUAUCUGUCACCAUGUCUACCGUUAGGUUAGCAUACCACUUGACUGGCUUGUAACUUAACGGUGCUGCAAAUAGAGAUCACUGAGAUUGAGUACUAGUCUUAAAAGCACUCACUGAGAUAAAUAUGAUUAACUAAAAUCCUCCUGUGGCUCAAACAGAUACACAAAAGACUACAUUAUCUAGUAUGUCAUUUCCUUAGUUACAACAAUUAGGACAUAAACACACCAGUUGCUAAGCAGUGAUGGGGGACAAAUACAUGCGCACACACACACAAUGGGCUUCUUUUGGUUUCUGUCAACCAAAUCUACUUACAAAGCUUUAAUUGACCUGUUGAAUACACUCGCUCAAGGUAUCAUGUAGUGGGACUGAACCCAGAGCCAUGUGGCUGGGAAGCAAACUUCUUACCAUUCAGCCACAUGUGCACCAUGUGUACGCUGUUAGUAUUAAGGCUACAAAUUUUAUUAUUACAUAUGGGAACGAAACUGUUGGUUUUUUUUUAUUGACUUAUAAUUGGUUUUAAUGAAAACAGGAUUUCAAUUGUUGCUAAUGCAAAUAUGAUUACAAAACCGCCUUAAAUUUUAUACAGUUAUUUUAUAUGUAUAUAUAUAUUAUUCCCCUAUUAAAAAUACUAGAUUGUGUACCUACCUAAGAAAACAAUAUCAUUAUUUAAUAAUAAACCAAUUUUUAAAUAUUUCCGAAAACGGAGGCUGAAGUUGGAGCAUCCUUGUGGAGUUAGCAUAUGAUAAGUUGUAUAAUAAAAAAAAAUUAAAAAACAUUUCUCAGUAUUGUUAUUGUAACAAUGUUUUUUUUUUCUUUUCAUCUGAAAUAUUAUAUGUAACAACAUGUUGAAUUAAUUCAAUAAGCUGUAAUCAACAACACGUGUAAUUACUUGUUUAUUAUUUCUUUUCUAAUUUUGACAACAGUUUGUGGUGUUAACAUAACCUGGACAUUCAAUUUGUUUUUUUGUUGUUUUGGUUUUCUCAGAACAAGGUUAAUAAAAAGGAAAUAUUUAAUAAAUUA
Molecule: long non-coding RNA, 2068 nt
Filed under: Octopus sinensis (East Asian common octopus)
Lineage: Eukaryota; Metazoa; Mollusca; Cephalopoda; Octopoda; Octopodidae
Description: uncharacterized LOC118767936
Source: RNAcentral